CCUACGGGUGGCAGCAGUGAGGAAUAUUGGUCAAUGGGCGGAAGCCUGAACCAGCCAAGUCGCGUGAGGGAAGACGGUACUGAGUGUUGUAAACCUCUUUUGUAAGAGGAUAAAGGCGGCCACGUGUGGCCGUCAGAGGGUACCUGGCGAAAAAGCAUCGGCUAACUCCGUGCCAGCAGCCGCGGUAAUACGGAGGAUCCGAGCGUUAUCCGGAUUUAUUGGGUGAAAAGGGAGCGUAGGCGGUCGAUAAAGUAGGAUGUAAAAUCUACCGGCUUAACUGGGAGCUGCGUUCAAAACUUCUUGUCUUGAGUGAAGUUGAGGCAGGCGGAAUUCCUAGUGUAGCGGUGAAAUGCGUAGAGAUUAGGAAGAACACCAGUGGCGAAGGCAGCCUGCUAGGCUAUAACUGACGUUGAGGCUCGAAAGCGUGGGGAGCAAACAGGAUUAGAUACCCGAGUAGUC
RNAcentral lists this ribosomal RNA (459 nucleotides) under uncultured bacterium. RNAcentral's name for it is "partial 16S ribosomal RNA". It matches the Rfam family "Bacterial small subunit ribosomal RNA", at positions 338 to 795 of the family's 1533-position model. The record is from RNAcentral.